Molecule: ribosomal RNA, 424 nt
Filed under: uncultured bacterium
Lineage: Bacteria
Description: bacterial SSU rRNA
Rfam family: Bacterial small subunit ribosomal RNA
Source: RNAcentral
GGGGAAUUUUGCACAAUGGGCGAAAGCCUGAUGCAGCAACGCCGCGUGUGUGAUGAAGGUCUUCGGAUCGUAAAGCACUUUCGACCGGGACGAACAACCUCUGGCUAACAGUCAGGGGCCUGACGGUACCGGGAGAAGAAGCACCGGCUAACUCUGUGCCAGCAGCCGCGGUAAUACAGAGGGUGCAAGCGUUGUUCGGAAUUAUUGGGCGUAAAGCGCGUGUAGGCGGCAUAGCAAGUCGGGUGUGAAAGCCCUCAGCUCAACUGAGGAAGUGCGCCCGAAACUGCUGUGCUUGAGUGCCGGAGAGGAUGGCGGAAUUCCCCAAGUAGAGGUGAAAUUCGUAGAUAUGGGGAGGAACACCGGUGGCGAAGGCGGCCAUCUGGACGGUAACUGACGCUGAGACGCGAAAGCGUGGGUAGCAAAC